UACGUAUGUGUGUGUGUGUAUAUGUGUAUAUAUAUAUAUAUAUACAUAUACACACACACACACACACACACACACACACACACA
RNAcentral lists this microRNA precursor (84 nucleotides) under Tupaia belangeri (northern tree shrew). RNAcentral describes it as "miRNA (ENSTBEG00000019790.1)". Lineage: Eukaryota; Metazoa; Chordata; Mammalia; Scandentia; Tupaiidae. The record is from RNAcentral.